Molecule: unclassified non-coding RNA, 384 nt
Filed under: Hevea brasiliensis (rubber tree)
Lineage: Eukaryota; Viridiplantae; Streptophyta; Magnoliopsida; Malpighiales; Euphorbiaceae
Source: RNAcentral
AGAUCUCUCCUUAGAGUACUCAUCCAGAAUAGAAGGUUUAAGCUUCAUGUGCUUGUAGAGUGUCCCAACUAUAAUGCAUUCUUUGCCUUCCUCUAAUCCUAGAACAGUACAGACAGGUAAAUGGGGUUUCCAAUUGGGAAUGAUAGAGUAAAGGAGAGUUCGCAUCAAAUGGAGCCUAGCAAAAUAUAUUUGGCUGUAUUGUUGACCCCUGUAAACCUCCUUCUGAAUCCCAAAACUCUCGUCCAAAGAUUGGUAAACUGAUUGUUUUCGGUGGAGAAGGUUCUUCUCUGAAUCAACUUCCGUUGAUACCAUGGCAGCAGAAAUAUUCUUCCCACUGCUUGCGCUGUUAAAGUUUCGUACUUCACUUCCCUCCCUCGAUGUAGU